This 445-nucleotide ribosomal RNA is filed under the name uncultured bacterium. RNAcentral's name for it is "bacterial SSU rRNA". It matches the Rfam family "Bacterial small subunit ribosomal RNA", at positions 340 to 774 of the family's 1533-position model. The record is from RNAcentral.
UACGGAAGGCAGCAGUGGGGAAUAUUGGACAAUGGGCGCAAGCCUGAUCCAGCCAUGCCGCGUGUGUGAAGAAGGCCUUCGGGUUGUAAAGCACUUUUGUCCGGAAAGAAAAGCUUAGGGUUAAUAACCUUGAGUCAUGACGGUACCGGAAGAAUAAGCACCGGCUAACUUCGUGCCAGCAGCCGCGGUAAUACGAAGGGUGCAAGCGUUACUCGGAAUUACUGGGCGUAAAGCGUGCGUAGGUGGUUUGUUAAGUCUGAUGUGAAAGCCCUGGGCUCAACCUGGGAAUGGCAUUGGAAACUGGCUUACUAGAGUGCGGUAGAGGGGUGUGGAAUUCCCGGUGUAGCAGUGAAAUGCGUAGAUAUCGGGAGGAACAUCUGUGGCGAAGGGCGACACCCUGGGACCAGGCACUGACACUGAGGCACGAAAGCGUGGGGAGCGAAAC